RNAcentral lists this ribosomal RNA (650 nucleotides) under uncultured bacterium. RNAcentral's name for it is "bacterial SSU rRNA". It matches the Rfam family "Bacterial small subunit ribosomal RNA", at positions 28 to 692 of the family's 1533-position model. The record is from RNAcentral.
AAUCAACGCUGGCGGCGUGCCUCAGACAUGCAAGUCGAACGAUUAAAGCUCUCUUCGGAGAGUGCAUAAAGUGGCGCACGGGUGAGUAACACGUAAGUAAUCUACCUUCGAGUGGGGAAUAACUCAGGGAAACUUGAGCUAAUACCGCAUAACGCAGCGGCAUCUUCGGAUGACAGUUGUUAAAGAUUUAUCGCUUGAAGAGGAGCUUGCGGCAGAUUAGCUAGUUGGUAAGGUAACGGCUUACCAAGGCAACGAUCUGUAUCCGGUCUAAGAGGACGGUCGGACACACUGACACUGAAUAACGGGUCACACUCCUACGGGAGGCAGCAGUCGGGAAUUUUGGGCAAUGGGCGCAAGCCUGACCCAGCAACGCCGCGUGAAGGAUGAAGUUUUUCGGAAUGUAAACUUCGUAAGAAUAGGAAGAAUAAAUGACGGUACUAUUUGUAAGGUCCGGCUAACUACGUGCCAGCAGCCGCGGUAAUACGUAGGGACCAAGCGUUGUUCGUAUUUACUGGGCGUAAAGGGCGCGUAGGCGGCAAUUCAAGUCAGCUGUGAAAUCUCCGGGCUUAACUCGGAACGGUCAGCUGAUACUGCUUUGCUAGAGUGCAGAAGGGGCAAUCGGAAUUCUUGGUGUAGCGGUGAAAUGCGUA